Molecule: long non-coding RNA, 1022 nt
Organism: Triticum dicoccoides
Lineage: Eukaryota; Viridiplantae; Streptophyta; Magnoliopsida; Poales; Poaceae
Exons: 3
Source: RefSeq, a predicted model, not a curated record
UGCCGACGGAGGCCGCGGGUGCGGCCUCAACCAUCCGCAUCCAGGGGGAAAAGGGAGGAGGAGAGUGGACGAGCGGCCGCCGCUUAGACCUUCCUCCGUCCGGAAUCGAGUCCGCUGAUCCGCGGCCGAACUCAUUUAAGAGAGUGUGUUCGAGGCUUCCAAUUGUUGAAUCGAUGGAUGCUGGCGCUGGGUUCUUCCAUCGGUUCUUCUUUCCGCAUAGCCAAAUCGCUCGUUUUGGAGAGCAGCAAGUGCUGAUAACGUGUAAAGAGGAAAAAGAGAGAGGGGAACGAAUGGAUUGAAUACAUAGUGGAACGAAGCAAGCACGGCGAGCCCAAAAGGCAAACUGACGCGGCGCAAAGUGGCGAGUACGUUGCGACCUUGUGUCGCUCUUUUGCGGGAUGAGCCGUUGGCGACCACGACGCCGGCGGGUGGGUCGAUGCUGCUACUUGGGCUGGUACGUAUCGCGAGCCUGAGCAGGCCGGGGCACGUACGGUCCCCGGCAAGGGCCGAAAAGGCGUGCGUUUUUCCGGCCGUCGCAGUGGAUACAUAACUGCACCCAUGCAUGCAUGCAUGGUACACGGGCACGACUGCACGAGGAUCCACGUUGACCACACGGACGUUGUAGCUGUAGCCUGUAGGAGUACGUGCGAGCCAGCUCCUGCAUGCUGCACAAGUGCACAUCGAGGCAUGCAUCGACCAACACCAAAGGUGGACAACGACACCGGCGCGUGCAGCAGGGAGCCAAGCGUCUGUCGCCGUGCCCGUGAGCACGUACGUGGGUGCAUGCGCUAGAAUCUGUGUUUUGAGGUUUGUGUACAAUGUGCUUAGACUGUCUAUAUAAUCUUUUACUCUCUCCUUCUCAUAAUAUAACAACGUUUUUUACAUUAUUAUGGGACAGAGGGAGUAGAUAGUAUACAUGACAGAUUUUGGUGUGGUGAUUUUCUCUCCUUCUGAAACUGAAAACUUGUUUAAAUAGACUCGUUAACAUAUUCUAGGAAGCUUUUCCUUCAACAUAUCCAAUG